Molecule: ribosomal RNA, 481 nt
Filed under: Cryptembia multicolor
Lineage: Eukaryota; Metazoa; Arthropoda; Insecta; Embioptera; Anisembiidae
Description: partial 16S ribosomal RNA
Rfam family: Bacterial large subunit ribosomal RNA (bases 355-481)
Source: RNAcentral
GUCUUUUUGAGGUAUAAAAAAGGUUUAUUCUGCUCAAUGAUUAUUUUUCAAUAGCUGCGGUAAUUUGACUGUGCAAAGGUAGCGUAAUCAAUAGUUUUUUAAUUGAAAACUAGAAUGAAUGAAUGGAUAUAUAAAGAUUGUCUAAUUUUAAUGUUAGUUGAAUUUAACUUAUAAGUAAGAAGGCUUAUAUAAAUAUAAGGGACGAUGAGACCCUAUAGAACUUAAAUUAUUUUAUGUGAUUAAAAAUAAAGUUUUAGUUGGGGUGAUUAAAAGAAUAAAAUAACUUUUUAAAAAUUUUACAUUUAUUUAUGAUUUUAAGAAUAAAAAGUUUUAUUAAAGAGAAGUUACCUUAGGGAUAACAGCAUAAUUUUUUUAGAAAGUUCUUAUUAAUAGAAAAGUUUGUGACCUCGAUGUUGAAUUAAGUUAAAAUGAGGAUGAAGAAGUUUUUUAUUUAGGUCUGUUCGACCUUUAAAAUCUUACA